RNAcentral lists this long non-coding RNA (1418 nucleotides) under Sus scrofa (pig). RNAcentral describes it as "lncRNA (ENSSSCG00070013571.1)". The record is from RNAcentral. Lineage: Eukaryota; Metazoa; Chordata; Mammalia; Artiodactyla; Suidae.
UCCUCAUGGCUACUAGUCUGGGUCGUUGCCGCCGCACCACAACGGCAACCCUCGUAUUACCUUCUUUUUACAGCUGCACCCAGCGGGAGAGACAGGGUGGCCACGGUGGUUCCAUCUCACUCAAAAUGGGAACGCAGGAGACGCCAAAGCAAAAGAACCACCAGGAACCCCUGUUCUGGAUUCGCUAACUCCGCAGAACUGCCACACAGGCUUUCUCUUUACUGAGGCGCGUGUGGUUGAGGCGCCUUUUACUCGGGACCACUUGCAGGUCGGCUACAGGCACCCUGACAGUUCACCUGGCCACGUCCUCGUGCCUCCCGGGAGGAGGGGUCUGCUCGGCAGCAGUCGGCACUCGGAGCCCCCGUCGGUGUCCACGCGCCACCCUCCUUCCGUGCACCUGCAGGGUUGUACGGACUAGAAGCCAGAAGGUUCCAGGUGCUUCCUCAGCUGCUCUGAGUGAAUCAGCGCCCCCUCCUCUCUCUCUCACCCUUGCGUCUUAUGCUGUGGUUGGUUUGUAAUUUAAUCUCAUGUAUUAGGAAACGUCUUCAUUCCUAAACUUUGUCAUCAUUAUCAUCUGCAGUCUGUUUGCAGAUUUCCCCAGGGGUUUGCCGAAUCUCCCGCCCUGCUUGCUUUCUUGCUUCUCUGACCUUCUAUCUGGGACCAGACUCUCCGCCCAGAGGGCAUCCUUCGGCAAGCCUGCUACCGUAAACUCUGUCUCUCUCCGUUUGAGUGAAGACUUAUUUUAGGUCGGCAACUGUAUAACCUAUUGCUGUUGCAAGAAGUUGCCACAAAUUAAAGCAACACAGAUUUAGCACCUUGCAGUUCUGCAGUCUUGUUGGGCUAAAAUCCAGGCUGGCUCCUGGAAGCUCUGGGGGGCAAUUUAUUUCCUCGCUUUUUCUAGAGGCACCUGUAUGUCUCAGCUCCUGGCCGCUCCUGCCAUCUUCCAAGUCAGGGCGCGGUAUCUUCUAAUCUCUGUCUCACACCACUGCCUCCCUCUUACAAGGAUGCUUGUGGUGACAGUGGGCCCAUCCCGAUAAUCUGGGCUGGGCCUGGAUCUCAAGGCCUUUCAUUUAAUCGCAUCUUCCAGAGGGAGCCCAGCACACGUUGCAAGUGUCCUGGGCCUGGCCCUGGUGGGCUGGACGCACCAAUGGGAGGGUCGGGAGGCAAGAACAGGAUGCUGAAGUGGUGAUGGGGUGUGUGGUGUGCAGAGCGCUGGCUCAGGCGUGCAGGUUUUGGGUUAAAGAUUGGGCUUUUCAGGAGUUCCCAUUGUGGCUCAGCAGCUUAAGGACCUGAUGUUGUCUCUGUGAGGAUGCAGGUCCCAUCCCUGGCCUUGCUCAGUGGGUUAAGGAUCCAGUGUUGCCACAAGCUGUGGCACAGGUCACAGCUGCAGCUACAAUUUGACCCCAGUCCUGGGAACU